Long non-coding RNA from Lathyrus oleraceus (garden pea), 284 nucleotides. RefSeq lists it as uncharacterized. The record is from RefSeq and is a predicted model, not a curated record. The transcript has 3 exons. Lineage: Eukaryota; Viridiplantae; Streptophyta; Magnoliopsida; Fabales; Fabaceae.
GAGUUAUGGCGCAUUCGACCCCAUUCAUAUAAGAAAUUGGAUUUCUAGAUAUCAGCCAAGAAGCAAGGACAGUAUCUGCAACCUUAAUGUUUCCAGCAACAUUAAAUGUUUAGAAGGUUGUAUGUGGGUUUGGCAAUGUUUGCUGGUAGAUAUACGACAAUGAUUGAAACAAUAACGAAUGCAGCACCCUUCCGUGAUGAUAACAACGAAGACCAUUGUAGGAACUUCACAGACCUUGUUGCUUUAGAUCAACGAAAGCAUCAUCGGAUAUGUGUUUGUCUAAC